AUGGAAUUUCUCCAAGCACCUGACAUAUGGGAUCGUAUCCUUUCCUUGCUGCCCCUGCGGGAUGCUGCUCGAGCUGGUUGUGUAUCUCGCGCGUUGUUAAGUUCCUGGACACGCCGUCCCAACCUCACCUUCACAGAGGAAACACUCGGCCUGGCUGGAAAUGCAUGUCGAAAACCUGAACUUGCACGAACUUUCCAAAACAGAGUUUACCGCGUUUUGAAAAAACACUCGGGCGUUGGUGUGAAGGCAUUCAAGCUUCAUCACUGUGGUUCUGGUUUCAACAUUCAUGAUCUGAACAGGUGGCUUCAGAUUGCCGUUACUCCGGGGAUUGAAGAAGUCGUACUUUCAGUACCAAUGCACCGGAGAAAGUACAAAUACGGGCCUCACUACGGGUACGAAUGGGUGUCUUACAACUUCCCCUGCUCAGUUUUUUCCAACGGGAGUGGAAACUCGAUUCGACAUCUUCACCUCGCCAGUUGUGCCUUCCACCCUGUUGCCGGACUUGCUCACUUGACAAGGCUGCAUCUGUUUAAGGUGGACAUUACAGGAGAUGAGUUAGGGUGCUUCCUUUCUAAUUCUUUUGCUAUGGAGGAGCUGAAUCUCACUAAAUGCGGUAACGUCAUUCACCUGAAGAUACCUUGCCUGCUACACAGGCUCAACUGCCUGGCGGUGCUGCAGUGCGUAGCUCUAAAAGUGAUAGAAAAUAAAGCUCCAAAUCUUUGGAUUGUUCGCAUCGAUAGCCAACCAGAGAAAGUUCCAGUUGGAGAUGUACUGCAAGUGAAGGACCUCCAAAUGCAGGAUUGUUACGAAUCUAACCUUGUUCAUUAUGCUCGUGCCAAGCUUCCAUCCAUUAUGCCAAAUCUUGAAACCCUCAGCCUAGAAUCGACCGGGGAGGUGUUCAAUACGCCAAUCUUGCCUGUCAAAUUCCUCUACCUCAAGAACUUGCGUAUUUUUCUUCAUGAUCGAGGGAUGAAGGGCUUUUCCCCAGGCUACGAUUAUUUUUCUCUCGUUUCUUUUCUGGAUGCUUGUCCUGUCUUGGAGAAUUUUGUCUUGGCUGUAUUACAGGCUAGCGUAAGGCAGGAAUUGAUUUCCGGAGACCCGCAUCUGAGGCAGAUGCCUGAACACCAGCAUGGCAACAUCAAGAAUGUGACGAUCAAGGGCUUCUGCGCUGCAAAGAGCAUGGUCGAGCUAACCUGUCAUAUUCUUGAGAAUGCAACAUCACUCGAGUGCCUUACGUUGGACACCAUAUGUGAUAAUGGCUCUGAAGACCUUGAUAGGACUUUUGACGACGGAAUUGCUAGAUGCUACACAGUGUUAAACUAG
This 1323-nucleotide ribosomal RNA is filed under the name Triticum aestivum (bread wheat). RNAcentral's name for it is "partial small subunit ribosomal RNA". The record is from RNAcentral. Lineage: Eukaryota; Viridiplantae; Streptophyta; Magnoliopsida; Poales; Poaceae.